Molecule: ribosomal RNA, 216 nt
Filed under: Glomeromycotina sp.
Lineage: Eukaryota; Fungi; Glomeromycota
Description: partial small subunit ribosomal RNA
Rfam family: Eukaryotic small subunit ribosomal RNA (bases 40-216)
Source: RNAcentral
GGGUCAUUAGGUUGGUCGUGCCACCGGUACGUACUGGUCUCACUGAUUCCUCCUUCCUGAAGAACCGUAAUGCCAUUAAUUUGGUGUUGCGGGGAAGCAGGACUGUUACUUUGAAAAAAUUAGAGUGUUUAAAGCAAGCUAACGCUUGAAUACAUUAGCAUGGAAUAAUGAAAUAGGACGAUCGAUCCUAUUUUGUUGGUUUCUAGGAUUGACGUA